GACGAACGCUGGCGGCAGGCUUAACACAUGCAAGUCGAACGGACCUUUCGGGGUGAGUGGCAGACGGGUGCGUAACGCGUGGGAAUCUACGCUUCUCUACGGGAUAGCUCCGGGAAACUGGAAUUAAUACCGUAUACGUCCUGAGGGAGAAAGAUUUGUCGGGGAAGGAUGAGCCCGCGUUGGAUUGGCUAGUUGGUGGGGUAAAGGCCUACCAAGGCGACGAUCCAUAGCUGGUCUAAGAGGAUGAUCAGCCACAUUGGGACUGAGACACGGCCCAAACUCCUACGGGAGGCAGCAGUGGGGAAUAUUGGACAAUGGGCGCAAGCCUGAUCCAGCCAUGCCGCGUGAGUGAUGAAGGCCCUAGGGUUGUAAAGCUCUUUCAGUGGGGACGAUAAUGACGGUACCCACAGAAGAAGCCCCGGCUAACUUCGUG
Molecule: ribosomal RNA, 433 nt
Filed under: uncultured bacterium
Lineage: Bacteria
Description: partial 16S ribosomal RNA
Rfam family: Bacterial small subunit ribosomal RNA
Source: RNAcentral